AGCGAACGCUGGCGGCAGGCCUAACACAUGCAAGUCGAACGAACCUUUCGGGGUUAGUGGCGGACGGGUGAGUAACACGUGGGAACGUGCCUUUAGGUUCGGAAUAACUCAGGGAAACUUGUGCUAAUACCGAAUGUGCCCUUCGGGGGAAAGAUUUAUCGCCUUUAGAGCGGCCCGCGUCUGAUUAGCUAGUUGGUUGAGGUAAUGGCUCACCAAGGCGACGAUCAGUAGCUGGUCUGAGAGGAUGAUCGGCCACAUUGGGACUGAGACACGGCCCAAACUCCUACGGGAGGCAGCAGUGGGGAAUCUUGAGCAAUGGGCGAAAGCCUGACGCAGCCAUGCCGCGUGAAUGAUGAAGGUCUUAGGAUUGUAAAAUUCUUUCACCGGGGACGAUAAUGACGGUACCCGGAGAAGAAGCCCCGGCUAACUUCGUG
RNAcentral lists this ribosomal RNA (434 nucleotides) under uncultured bacterium. RNAcentral describes it as "partial 16S ribosomal RNA". It matches the Rfam family "Bacterial small subunit ribosomal RNA", at positions 29 to 507 of the family's 1533-position model. The record is from RNAcentral.